RNAcentral lists this ribosomal RNA (396 nucleotides) under uncultured Flavobacteriales bacterium. RNAcentral describes it as "bacterial SSU rRNA". It matches the Rfam family "Bacterial small subunit ribosomal RNA", at positions 523 to 924 of the family's 1533-position model. Lineage: Bacteria; Pseudomonadati; Bacteroidota; Flavobacteriia; Flavobacteriales. The record is from RNAcentral.
AUACGGAGGAUGCAAGCGUUAUCCGGAUUUAUUGGGUUUAAAGGGUCCGCAGGCGGACCAGUCAGUCAGUGGUGAAAUCCCAUCGCUUAACGAUGGAACUGCCAUUGAUACUGCUGGUCUUGAGUCUAGUUGACGUAGGCGGAAUAUGACAUGUAGCGGUGAAAUGCGUAGAUAUGUCAUAGAACACCAAUUGCGAAGGCAGCUUACGAAACUACGACUGACGCUCAUGGACGAAAGCGUGGGUAGCGAACAGGAUUAGAUACCCUGGUAGUCCACGCCGUAAACGAUGAUCACUCGAUGUCAGCGAUAUACUGUUGGUGUCUUAGCGAAAGUUUUAAGGAUCCACCUGGGGAUACGUUCGCAAGAAUGAAACUCAAAGGAAUUGACGGGGCCCGC